Molecule: ribosomal RNA, 488 nt
Filed under: uncultured bacterium
Lineage: Bacteria
Description: bacterial SSU rRNA
Rfam family: Bacterial small subunit ribosomal RNA
Source: RNAcentral
AGAGUUUGAUCCUGGCUCAGGAUGAACGCUGGCGGCGUGCCUAAUACAUGCAAGUCGAACGAGGUGCUUUUGUAGCAAUACGAGAGUAUCCUAGUGGCGAACGGGUGAGUAACGCGUUGGUGACUCCCCAAAGUGUGGGAUAACAGUCCGAAAGGAUUGCUAAUACCGCAUGUGGUCUUCGGAUUUAGAAACUGAUGACUAAAGGAGCAAUUCGCUUUGGGAGGGACCUGCGUCCCAUCAGCUAGUUGGUGAGGUAAUGGCUCACCAAGGCUACGACGGGUAGGGGACCUGAGAGGGUGACCCCCCCACAAUGGAACUGAAACACGGUCCAUACACCUACGGGUGGCAGCAGUAGGGAAUAUUGCACAAUGGGCGAAAGCCUGAUGCAGCAACGCCGCGUGUGCGAUGAAGGCCUUCGGGUCGUAAAGCACUUUUCUGGGAGAUGAGCAAGGACAGUAUCUCAGGAAUAAGUCUCGGCUAACUACGUG